CGGGUGAGUAACGCGUGGGUAACCUGCCUCAUACAGGGGGAUAACAGUUAGAAAUGACUGCUAAUACCGCAUAAGCGCACAGAAUCGCAUGAUUCGGUGUGAAAAACUCCGGUGGUAUGAGAUGGACCCGCGUCUGAUUAGCUAGUUGGUGGGGUAAAGGCCUACCAAGGCGACGAUCAGUAGCCGACCUGAGAGGUGAUCGGCCACAUUGGGACUGAGACACGGCCCAAACUCCUACGGAAGGCAGCAG
This 250-nucleotide ribosomal RNA is filed under the name uncultured bacterium. RNAcentral describes it as "partial 16S ribosomal RNA". It matches the Rfam family "Bacterial small subunit ribosomal RNA", at positions 103 to 354 of the family's 1533-position model. The record is from RNAcentral.